This is a non-coding RNA of Ameiurus melas (black bullhead), 80 nucleotides long. NCBI's taxonomy places the organism in Eukaryota, Metazoa, Chordata, Actinopteri, Siluriformes, Ictaluridae. The record is from the annotation of a GenBank genome assembly.
GGCAGAUGUGGCUUAGGGGUUAAGGCUCUGGGUUACUGAUCGGAAGGUCGGGGGUCAGGGUUCAAGCCCCAGUGCUGCCA